RNAcentral lists this ribosomal RNA (253 nucleotides) under uncultured bacterium. RNAcentral describes it as "partial 16S ribosomal RNA". It matches the Rfam family "Bacterial small subunit ribosomal RNA", at positions 524 to 776 of the family's 1533-position model. The record is from RNAcentral.
GACGUAGGGCGCAAGCGUUGUCCGGAAUCAUUGGGCGUAAAGAGCGUGUAGGCGGUCCGAUAAGUCCGCUCUGAAAGCCCGGGGCUCAACCCCGGGAGGCGGGCGGAUACUGUCGGGCUAGAGUCCGGAAGAGGCAAGUGGAAUUCCUGGUGUAGCGGUGAAAUGCGCAGAUAUCAGGAGGAACACCGAUGGCGAAGGCAGCUUGCUGGGACGGUACUGACGCUGAGACGCGAAAGCGUGGGGAGCAAACAGG